RNAcentral lists this ribosomal RNA (497 nucleotides) under uncultured bacterium. Its description in RNAcentral is "partial 16S ribosomal RNA". It matches the Rfam family "Bacterial small subunit ribosomal RNA", at positions 28 to 507 of the family's 1533-position model. The record is from RNAcentral.
GAUGAACGCUGGCGGCGUGCCUAAUACAUGCAAGUCGAGCGAACAGACGAGGAGCUUGCUCCUCUGACGUUAGCGGCGGACGGGUGAGAAACACGUGGAUAACCUACCUAUAAGACUGGGAUAACUUCGGGAAACCGGAGCUAAUACCGGAUAAUAUAUUGAACCGCAUGGUUCAAUAGUGAAAGACGGUUUUGCUGUCACUUAUAGAUGGAUCCGCGCCGCAUUAGCUAGUUGGUAAGGUAACGGCUUACCAAGGCGACGAUGCGUAGCCGACCUGAGAGGGUGAUCGGCCACACUGGAACGGAGACACGGUCCAGACUCCUACGGGAGGCAGCAGUAGGGAAUCUUCCGCAAUGGGCGAAAGCCUGACGGAGCAACGCCGCGUGAGUGAUGAAGGUCUUCGGAUCGUAAAACUCUGUUAUUAGGGAAGAACAAAUGUGUAAGUAACUAUGCACGUCUUGACGGUACCUAAUCAGAAAGCCACGGCUAACUACGUG